RNAcentral lists this ribosomal RNA (478 nucleotides) under uncultured bacterium. RNAcentral's name for it is "bacterial SSU rRNA". It matches the Rfam family "Bacterial small subunit ribosomal RNA", at positions 28 to 507 of the family's 1533-position model. The record is from RNAcentral.
GAUGAACGCUGGCGGCGUGCCUAAUACAUGCAAGUCGAACGAAAUACCUUCGGGUAUUUAGUGGCGAACGGGUGAGUAAUACGUAGAUAACCUGCCUAUAGGACUGGGAUAACUAUUGGAAACGAUAGCUAAUACCGGAUAGGUAGAACGAGGGCAUCCUUGUUCUAUUAAAGUUGGGAAACAACACAUAUAGAUGGAUCUACGGCGCAUUAGUUAGUUGGCGGGGUAACGGCCCACCAAGGCGAUGAUCAUUAGGGGUCCUGAGAGGGUGAUCCCCCACACUGGUACUGAGACACGGACCAGACUCCUACGGGAGGCAGCAGUGAGGAAUAUUGGACAAUGGGUGAGAGCCUGAUCCAGCCAUCCCGCGUGCAGGAAGACGGCCUUAUGGGUUGUAAACUGCUUUUAUACAGGAAUAAACCACCUUACGAGUAGGGUGUUGAAGGUACUGUAUGAAUAAGCACCGGCUAACUCCGUG